CUGUGGGCGCGAGGGCAUCAACAGGUGGCCGUGUGCAGCGGAGAGGCCAAUGGCGAGGACCCGGACUGGGGGUCCUGCUGCCAUGCUGUGAGAAGCCGAAGUUUCAUGGAGAGGCCACAUGGAGUGAAAACAAAGGUGAUAGGGACAAUAGCUCCACCUGAGAUCCUGAUUAAUACACAGACUUUAGCCAUCUUGGAUGCUCCAGCCUAAUCGAUCUCCCACUUGACUCUAGUCUCACCUGACAUUAUGUAGAGGAAAACCAUCCAGCUCCACCUAGUCAACCCACAGAAUAAUGAGAUGAUCAUAAGACUGUAGUUGUUUAACAUUAUUAACUUUUGGGGUGGUUUAUUACACAGUGAUAGAUAAAUAAAAUGGGAG
Molecule: long non-coding RNA, 378 nt
Filed under: Homo sapiens (human)
Lineage: Eukaryota; Metazoa; Chordata; Mammalia; Primates; Hominidae
Description: non-protein coding lnc-DERL1-3:10
Source: RNAcentral